RNAcentral lists this ribosomal RNA (542 nucleotides) under uncultured bacterium. Its description in RNAcentral is "bacterial SSU rRNA". It matches the Rfam family "Bacterial small subunit ribosomal RNA", at positions 777 to 1320 of the family's 1533-position model. The record is from RNAcentral.
AAUAGAUACCCGGGUAGUCCACGCCGUAAACGAUGAGUACUAGGUGUAGGGGGUAUCGACCCCCCCUGUGCCGCAGUAAACACAAUAAGUACUCCGCCUGGGAAGUACGAUCGCAAGAUUAAAACUCGAAGGAAUUGACGGGGACCCGCACAAGCAGCGGAGCAUGUGGUUUAAUUCGAAGCAACGCGAAGAACCUUACCUGGACUUGACAUCCCCUGAAUAACUCGUAAUGGAGGAAGCCCUUCGGGGCAGGGAGACAGGUGGUGCAUGGUUGUCGUCAGCUCGUGUCGUGAGAUGUUAGGUUAAGUCCUGCAACGAGCGCAACCCCUGUCGUUAGUUGCCAUCACGUAAAGGUGGGCACCCUAACGAGACUGCCGCGGUUAACGUGGAGGAAGGUGGGGAUGACGUCAAAUCAUCAUGCCCCUUAUGUCCAGGGCAACACACGUGCUACAAUGGGCAGAACAGAGAGAAGCAAUACCGCGAGGAGGAGCAAAUCUCAAAAACUGCCCCCAGUUCGGAUUGCAGGCUGAAACCCGCCUGCA